This 321-nucleotide small RNA is filed under the name Oryza sativa Japonica Group (Japanese rice). RNAcentral's name for it is "misc RNA OsRNS5". The record is from RNAcentral. Lineage: Eukaryota; Viridiplantae; Streptophyta; Magnoliopsida; Poales; Poaceae.
CUGAGCUCGAUCGAUCGAUCGAUCAAGAAGACAAAUUAACCCUUGUUGUGAUAUGCGAUUUGUGCGUGUGUGUUGUCUGUUUCGAUCGUGAUGUUUUCUGCGUGUUUAUUUCGUGAUGUUCUCUCAUCGCGCCCGCGCGCGGUUGGGUACGAUCCGGGACACCUACGUAGCACUGAAUCCGUCUCUGUGAUGCAUUCAGAGAAUAAGUCCGAAUAUGUGCGGCCUUGUUAAUGUUUUCAUGAAUAACUCGUGUAGUGGGAUUACUUUGUCAUCGGACAUUUCAUGAUUUCCGAUGCACACCUUGGCUAUGUUCUUCCCCCC